AUCUGGGUUUCUGCUUUUGAUUAACUGUCUGUUCAUAAAAUUCUAGCAAGUUUGUUAUCAGGCAUAAACAAAUAAAUCAGUUACAACUGUUGUGCCAUAGACCAGAAGAUUACAAGUGCAAUAAGUUCCCAUUUUAUAGUUUAAGCCCCAUUAACCAAUCAAGAAGUCAAAAUGGCCACUACUUUUGAAGGCAGUAUCUCCCUCUUAUGCGACAUCUGCUUUUCUUGGCUUCCUGUUAAAUAUCAAAAUCCGGGCAGCGAUGGAUUGCAGGUUUCUCUUGUCAUACUGGGCAAGCUUCUAAUACUGUGGCUGAAUCAUGGGGAAUAACUUGAUGGUGGUUUUUAGCCUGGGAACUUAGCUUUCCUAACAUCAUGUACUUGUAGUUGUAACUUGUCAAUUACUGAAAUGUAUAUCUGCCGAAAUCUGAUUUCUUGCGUUCCAAAUCUUCUUUUAGAGUGUUGGACUUGUCUCCAGAGACUCACGCAGGGAAACCCUUGAGUUGAUUCCCUGCCACAAUGGGUCCUAAGCAACACAAGAUCAUUUGGAAUGCUAUCCUUACUCAUCACAUCUGAACUGAAAAGUGGAGCUCUGAUAGUCCAAUGAAAUGUUGCAAUCCAGUAAUCUUGCUUUACCAGGUCACAGGAGCAGAAACUUUGACAGGAUCGUUUGAAGAGAUAUAUAAAUUGGCCAGAAGAUGGCUAGCACUGCAUUGCAUGGUAUGCUUUAAGCCAGAUGGAGGCUCCCAUCUUUCCAAUUAGUUGUGUCACACCAAUGAAAUUGCCCAUACUAUCAGAAUGUGGUAGAACAAUCCCUUGUACAUCGAUGGUCAUUCCAUUAGUUGGAUGUGCCUCAGGCUGCUGUCCAUGCCUCUCCUAGUCUACUGUGCACUUGAGCACCAAAGCUUUAGCUUAUCAGAAUAAAUCAACCAGCAUAAAAAUGCUAACCCUAUAAGUAAACAACGAAAGCUAAUCAUAUCUUAAGGAGUGAGCAUGCACCACAGCUAGAACAUGUGAUAGAUUCUUUGGAUUUCCCCUAAAAUAUCUCAUUCAACAAGAAGUUUGCCUCUGUGCAAUUCCACAGUUUUUCCAUAAGCCAUGGAUCAUGUGCUUGAAAGUUAGACUAUUUGGUGCAAAUCCCACUUUCAGCAUCCUAUCUUGCAGCUCCAUCAAUUUAGUAACAUCAGCAACCUCACAAAAUAUUUUGACUAGUAUGUUGUAACUCUCAGGAUCAAAAAUUUGAAAUUCCUUGGCAAAGAAUUCCAAUAAUGAUUCUGCUUUUCCAAAAUCCCUUUCCCUGCAGUAUACAUGCACCAACGCCCUACAUAUUUCUGGAUCAGGUAGCAUGCCAGAUUGAAGCAUUUCUUCCAUCAAAGAUUUAGCCUCCGUACUUUUAUUUAUUCUGCAUAAGCAGCAAAUAAGAGCUUUAUAUGCAAUAGGAUCGGGUUUGAGAUUCCCACGAACCAUCUCAGUUUUUACAAGAAUUGCAUCAGCUACACUAUCAUUUUUGCAGAGAGAUUGAAUGAGUUUGUUGUAGAUUUCCACACCAGGCACAUAACCACGCUGAGAGAUUCUUUCCAUAAGACUCUUUGCUGCAAACGGCCGAUCCUCCUUGCAGACAGAAACUAUUAGAUAAUCAUAAAUAUCCCAGGAGACUGGAACAUGAAAUCUCUCAAGUUCCACAACCAAAUUUAAAGCAGAAAGUGCCCUACCCUCUUUAGCAUAUCCUUCUACAAGAAUCCGACAAGUAACAUUAUUUGGGCAAAUCCCACUUGCUAUCAUCUCGUGUAAUAAUGACCUUGACUCUUGCAUCUUCCCUUCCCUGCAAUAGCCACAGAUGAGAGUAUUAAAUGAAACUAUGUCUGGAUUCAACCUUCUGUGAACCAUUCUAUGCAAGAGCUGGUGAGCUUCUCUUACCUUCCCUUCUUUGCAAAGACCAUUCAUCAAUGCAGUAUAUGAAACCAAAUCUGGCAACACACCCCUCCUAUACAUUAUCCUAUAUAAAUAAAACGCAUCAUUCAAUCUUCCUUUUCUACAAUAGCAACUGAUCAGUGUAUUAUAUGUCACUAUAUCUGGCUCAAAGCCUUCUUCCUCCAUUUUCUCCAAGAAAUCAUUCACCUUAUUGACAUCACCAUCAUGGCAAAAGACAUGGGUUAAUAUAUUAAAAGUAUAUGAAUUUGGGUGUAUACCAAUUCUCCCCAUCUCUGCAUAAACUUGCCAACACUGUUGAACGCAAUUCAAUUUCAACAACCCAUUCAAGAGACAAUUGCAGGCAAUCACACUAGGAACAUAACCAACCUCCACAAUCUUCAUAAAGGUCCUAAAACCCUCUUUAAUCAUGCCCUCUUUCACGUAUGCCUUAAUAAGCAUAUCAUAAAUGACAGGAUCCCAAUUACAAUCUUCACAACAUGAAACCAAACUACUAAACACAUCUUCACUGCGUGAAGAAUCUUUGACCGACCUAACAAAUUCAGUUAAAAAUUUCAUUGCUUGUUUGAAUUCUUUAGACCAAGCCAGGAUGUGAACAAGGUGACAAUAAUUCUGGGUAGUGGGUUUAAGACCCAGAUCAUUUUUGACCCAGUUAAAGAAAGUGAGAGCUGAAAUAGAAUCAGACUGGCAUCUCAACAAAACCCUAGAGAUUUCAUUGGUACCCAGAUGAGAAAGGAGACCCUUUAUAUCAUUUUGGAGAAGGGUUAGCCGGGUAUUAUCUUGUUUGAGGGAUGAGUAAAUGAUAUUGACUAUGUUGUUGGGGUUUUUGGUUUCAGGAAGGAGAUGGUAAAGCGGGUUUGAGAGAGGUUUAGAUUUGGAAUUGGAUAUGGUUUGA
This 2820-nucleotide unclassified non-coding RNA is filed under the name Hevea brasiliensis (rubber tree). The record is from RNAcentral. Lineage: Eukaryota; Viridiplantae; Streptophyta; Magnoliopsida; Malpighiales; Euphorbiaceae.